Molecule: ribosomal RNA, 882 nt
Filed under: uncultured Mycoplasma sp.
Lineage: Bacteria; Bacillati; Mycoplasmatota; Mollicutes; Mycoplasmatales; Mycoplasmataceae
Description: bacterial SSU rRNA
Rfam family: Bacterial small subunit ribosomal RNA
Source: RNAcentral
CGUGCCAGCAGCCGCGGUAAUACAUAGGUCACAAGCGUUAUCCGGAAUUAUUGGGCGUAAAGCGUUCGUAGGCGGUUUGUUAAGUCUGGAGUUAAAGACUGGGGCUCAACCCCAGCCCGCUCUGGAUACUGGCUGACUAGAGUUACAUAGAGGUAAGUGGAAUUCUUAGUGGAGCGGUGGAAUGCGUAGAUAUUAGGAAGAACACCAAUGGCGAAGGCAGCUUACUGGAUGUACACUGACGCUCAGGGACGAAAGCGUGGGGAGCAAACAGGAUUAGAUACCCUGGUAGUCCACGCCGUAAACGAUGAUCAUUAGCCGCUAGAAUAUUUAGUGGCGCAGCUAACGCAUUAAAUGAUCCGCCUGAGUAGUAUGCUCGCAAGAGUGAAUCUUAAAGGAAUUGACGGGGACCCGCACAAGCGGUGGAGCAUGUGGUUUAAUUUGAAGAUACGCGUAGAACCUUACCCACUCUUGACAUCUUCCGCAAUACUAUGGAGACAUAGUGGAGGUUAACGGAAUGACAGAUGGUGCAUGGUUGUCGUCAGCUCGUGCCGUGAGGUGUUAGGUUAAGUCCUGCAACGAGCGCAACCCCUGUCUUUAGUUACUAACGGAUAAUGCCGAGGACUCUAGAGAGACUGACUGGGUAACCAGUAGGAAGGUGGGGACGACGUCAAAUCAUCAUGCCUCUUACGAGUGGGGCAACACACGUGCUACAAUGGACGGUACAAAGAGAAGCAAUAUGGUGACAUGGAGCAAACCUCAAAAAACCGUUCUCAGUUCGGAUUGAAGUCUGAAACUCGACUUCAUGAAGUUGGAAUCGCUAGUAAUCGUAGAUCAGCUACGCUACGGUGAAUACGUUCUCGGGUCUUGUACACACCGCCCGUC